GAGAGUUGAAGGAUUGAAAAAUGAAGACAGAGCAUGCAGGGUAGAUUUAAUGUAGCGGAAGGAUAAUAAACCACAGAGGAGUGAAAGAAGCUCCUUAUCCUCGAAAUGGCAGCAGAGGAGAUAGUUUCUAAAGGAAGCGUCGUGAACGCCACAGAGCGGCUUGUUUGUAAUUCCCAAGUGUACGGGCGAUGAGGGCUUAGAGAUAAGCGUAGUACACAUACA
Molecule: small RNA, 222 nt
Filed under: Eubacterium ventriosum
Lineage: Bacteria; Bacillati; Bacillota; Clostridia; Eubacteriales; Eubacteriaceae
Description: Clostridiales-3 RNA
Rfam family: Clostridiales-3 RNA
Source: RNAcentral